Molecule: transfer RNA, 74 nt
Filed under: Pelodiscus sinensis (Chinese soft-shelled turtle)
Lineage: Eukaryota; Metazoa; Chordata; Testudines; Trionychidae
Rfam family: tRNA
About the family: Transfer RNA (tRNA) molecules are approximately 80 nucleotides in length. Their secondary structure includes four short double-helical elements and three loops (D, anti-codon, and T loops). Further hydrogen bonds mediate the characteristic L-shaped molecular structure. tRNAs have two regions of fundamental functional importance: the anti-codon, which is responsible for specific mRNA codon recognition, and the 3' end, to which the tRNAs corresponding amino acid is attached (by aminoacyl-tRNA synthetases). tRNAs cope with the degeneracy of the genetic code in two manners: having more than one tRNA (with a specific anti-codon) for a particular amino acid; and 'wobble' base-pairing, i.e. permitting non-standard base-pairing at the 3rd anti-codon position.
Source: Rfam by way of RNAcentral
GGCAUCAUGGCUUAGUUGGCUAAAGUACUUGCCUUGUAAGCAGAAGCUCUUGGGUUCAAUUCUCAGUGGUACCU